UCAGCCGCCGCGGUAAUACGUAGGGGGCAAGCGUUGUCCGGAAUCAUUGGGCGUAAAGGGCGCGUAGGCGGAUAAUUAAGUCUGGUGUGAAAACUUGGGGCUCAACCCCAAGCCUGCAUCGGAAACUGGUUAUCUUGAGGACAGGAGAGGAAAGUGGAAUUCCACGUGUAGCGGUGAAAUGCGUAGAGAUGUGGAGGAACACCAGUGGCGAAGGCGACUUUCUGGACUGUAACUGACGCUGAGGCGCGAAAGCGUGGGGAGCAAACAGGAUUAGAUACCCUGGUAGUCCACGCCGUAAACGAUGAGUGCUAGGUGUAGAGGGUAUCGACCCCUUCUGUGCCGCAGUUAACACAAUAAGCACUCCGCCUGGGGAGUACGGCCGCAAGGUUGAAACUUAAAGGAAUUGGCGGGGGA
This 414-nucleotide ribosomal RNA is filed under the name uncultured bacterium. Its description in RNAcentral is "bacterial SSU rRNA". It matches the Rfam family "Bacterial small subunit ribosomal RNA", at positions 508 to 920 of the family's 1533-position model. The record is from RNAcentral.